Molecule: long non-coding RNA, 496 nt
Filed under: Fukomys damarensis (Damara mole-rat)
Lineage: Eukaryota; Metazoa; Chordata; Mammalia; Rodentia; Bathyergidae
Description: lncRNA (ENSFDAG00000024424.1)
Source: RNAcentral
CCCCCCUUGCACGUUGGCGCCGCUGUUUACCCGCCUGGCCGCCCUCGGCCCACUUCCCUUUCCUCCCCCCAGGGGAGGAGAUGGUUAAAGAUUACACUGCGGCCGCCGGCACUUCAAAGGGCGGCUCGGGCAGCCAAAGGUAAAGAUAACGUUCUGGAAGCUCUAAUCGGGGUUUGUGGUUGCCACAUUUUAAUCACUUCGUUAAAAAAAAAAAAAAAAAAGAAAGAAAGAAAGAAAAAAAGAAAAGAAAAAAAGAAAGAAAGAAAAAGGUUACAUCAUCCUGCUGUGCUAGGGAUGCAGAAUUAUUCACGUUGUAAAUGGAACUUGGAACGUAUCCUGUCUAUGAUUCUUAUAGAACCACAACUAGAAUGCCCUGGAGGGGUAAAUACAUCACCUUAUGGGGGUUGGCACACUGAACAGGAAUCCCAAGAUGAUUCUCACUCAAGAAGUCCAAGCUAAAAAAAUUUCACAUACACCACAAGAAUUACUAAUAAGC